UACUAUGAAGAGUUUGAUCCUGGCUCAGGAUGAACGCUAGCGGCAGGCCUAAUACAUGCAAGUCGAGGGGUAAGGCUCUUUCGGGAGUACACGACCGGCGCACGGGUGCGUAACGCGUAUGCAACCUACCUUUAACUGGGGAAUAGCCCCGAGAAAUCGGGAUUAAUACCUCAUAACACUGCGAAGUGGCAUCACUUUGCAAUUAAAGCUCCGGCGGUUAAAGAUGGGCAUGCGUGACAUUAGCUAGUUGGUGAGGUAACGGCUCACCAAGGCUACGAUGUCUAGGGGUUCUGAGAGGAUGAUCCCCCACACUGGUACUGAGACACGGACCAGACUCCUACGGGAGGCAGCAGUAAGGAAUAUUGCGCAAUGGAGGCAACUCUGACGCAGCCAUGCCGCGUGCAGGAAGAAGGCCUUAUGGGUCGUAAACUGCUUUUAUUUAGGAAUAACCCCCUGCUCGUGAGCAGGGCUGAAGGUACUAAAAGAAUAAGCACCGGCUAACUCCGUGCCAGCAGCCGCGGUAAUACGGAGGGUGCAAGCGUUAUCCGGAUUUAUUGGGUUUAAAGGGUGCGCAGGCGGGCUAUUAAGUCAGUGGUGAAAACCCGGGGCUCAACCUCGGAACUGCCAUUGAUACUGAUAGUCUUGAGUUUGGUUGAAGUGGGCGGAAUGUAGCAUGUAGCGGUGA
RNAcentral lists this ribosomal RNA (685 nucleotides) under Bacteroidetes bacterium CG_4_10_14_3_um_filter_42_6. RNAcentral describes it as "bacterial SSU rRNA". It matches the Rfam family "Bacterial small subunit ribosomal RNA", at positions 1 to 684 of the family's 1533-position model. The record is from RNAcentral. Lineage: Bacteria; Pseudomonadati; Bacteroidota.